CCUACGGGUGCAGCAGUGGGGAAUAUUGGACAAUGGGCGAAAGCCUGAUCCAGCCAUGCCGCGUGUGUGAAGAAGGCCUUCGGGGUGUAAAGCACUUUCAGUGGGGAAGAAAGCCUUGGGGCUAAUACCCUCGAGGAAGGACAUCACCCACAGAAGAAGCACCGGCUAACUCCGUGCCAGCAGCCGCGGUAAUACGGAGGGUGCGAGCGUUAAUCGGAAUUACUGGGCGUAAAGCGCGCGUAGGCGGUCUGAUAAGCCGGUUGUGAAAGCCCCGGGCUCAACCUGGGAACGGCAUCCGGAACUGUCAGGCUAGAGUGCAGGAGAGGAAGGUAGAAUUCCCGGUGUAGCGGUGAAAUGCGUAGAGAUCGGGAGGAAUACCAGUGGCGAAGGCGGCCUUCUGGACUGACACUGACGCUGAGGUGCGAAAGCGUGGGUAGCAAACAGGAUUAGAUACCCUAGUAGUC
RNAcentral lists this ribosomal RNA (464 nucleotides) under Vreelandella stevensii. RNAcentral's name for it is "partial 16S ribosomal RNA". It matches the Rfam family "Bacterial small subunit ribosomal RNA", at positions 338 to 795 of the family's 1533-position model. The record is from RNAcentral. Lineage: Bacteria; Pseudomonadati; Pseudomonadota; Gammaproteobacteria; Oceanospirillales; Halomonadaceae.